Molecule: RNA transcript, 5743 nt
Organism: Dromiciops gliroides (monito del monte)
Lineage: Eukaryota; Metazoa; Chordata; Mammalia; Microbiotheria; Microbiotheriidae
Gene: CREBZF
Gene name: CREB/ATF bZIP transcription factor
Exons: 3
Source: RefSeq, a predicted model, not a curated record
UUCACUCGGUGCCUAGCCGGCUUGAACCCCCUAGAGGAGAGGAGACGUCUCCCCGAGAGUAUUCUAAAGGAUGGAUAAAGGGCGCAGCCUUUACUAAGCAAGUGUCGUGUACAGUUGGUGGGCUGUGAAACAAGACAAAGCUCCCGGAGAGGAGGGGACUGCGGUACACAAAGGAGCGCAUGGUCUGGAAACAAAACAAAGCCGUCAGACAGAGGACGCCCUCUUAAAGGAUCCGGCACACAAAGGAGUGCUGGGUCACUGCGAGAAUUCCCCAAUCUGCCUUCUUUCCUCGCUACCGCUCCCUCAAGUCUCGCGAUGUCCAGCAGGAGGGAGGGGGGAGCGGAGGAGCGAGAGUUCCCGACUUCCGGCUCGCUCCAGCCUGUCGUCUCCCGGGCGGUCCGGUCCAGUCAUCCUUGCGUCCCGGCGACCGCGGAGCCCGCGUCUCCCGGCCCCCCACCCCCUCGGUCUUUCUUGCUUGCGUAGUCUCCGCGCUGCGGCUCCCGCGGCCCACACCCUGGGGCCCGGGGCCCACGAGACCUCCGGGGCCUGCACCGCGGGGCCGGGGGCGGCCCCGUCCCCGCCUCGGCCCCCUGGGACUCGAUGAGGCACAGCUUGACGAAGCUGCUGGCGGCCUCGGGCAGCGGCUCCCCGGCCAGGAGCGGGAGCCCGGCGCCGGUGCCCUCCCCGGCCUCGGGCUGUCUGCGCCCCCCGGGCCUGGCCCGGGCGGUGGCCGGGGAGGAGGGCUGCGGCGGCGGCGGCGGCGGCGGCGAGGAGGAGGAGGAAGAAGGGGACGGACCUCCGCGACGGCAGGAGGGCGCUCCGGAGGCCGCGCCUGCUGAGGAGAAGAUGGAGGAGGAGGAGGAGCCGCCUGCGGCCGCCGCCCGCUGCGAGGAGCCGGAGGACAUGGACUUUCUGUCGGGCCUCGAGCUGGCCGACCUGCUGGACCCCCGACAGCCAGACUGGGACCUGGAGCAGGGUCUGAGUUCGCCGGGGCCGCUGUCGUCGGGGGGCGGCUCGGACAGCGGCUGCCUGUGGAGAGGAGACGACGACGACGAGAUGGCGGCCGCGGCCGCCGAGAUGCAGCGAUUUUCGGACCUGCUGCAGAGAUUGGUGAACGGCGGCGGCGGCGGCGGCUUCGGCCCGGGCCCGGGAUCCGGCUCCGGCCCGGGCGGCUCCGGCAUUGGUGGUUGCGGCGGCGGCGGCGGUGGCGGCGGCAGCAGCGCCGGGACCUGCGCCGGCUCCGGCUCCGGCGGCGAGAGGAGGCGGAGGCGGAACCCGGGAGCGGGGGGCGGCGACGGCGGCGGCGGCGGCGGCGGGAGCAGCCACGGCCCGGCGGCGGCCAAGAGCCCCCGCAAAGCGGCCGCCGCCGCGGCCCGUCUCAACCGGCUGAAGAAGAAGGAGUACGUGAUGGGGCUGGAGAGCCGCGUCCGGGGCCUGGCCGCCGAGAACCAGGAGCUGCGGGCCGAGAACCGGGAGCUGGGCAAGCGCGUGCAGGCGCUGCAGGAGGAGAGCCGCUACCUGCGGGCCGUGCUGGCCAACGAGACCGGCCUGGCGCGCUUGCUGAGCCGCCUGAGCGGCGGGGGGCUGCGCCUCACCACCUCCCUCUUCAGGGACCCGCCCGCCGGCGACCACGACUACGCCCUGCCCCUGGGCCAGCGGCGGCACGACGCCGGGCAGGACGACGAGCCCGCUGGGGGAGUGUGUCUCCACGUGGACAAGGAGAAGGUGUCGGUGGAGUUCUGCUCGGCCUGUGCCAGGAAGGCCUCGGCUUCUCUCAAAAUUUUCUUUUUUAGGUGAUUUCCUCCCUGCCAGGCUCCGUUGUAGGGGUUACAGAACAGUCGUACCCGCCUCACAACCUGGUAAGGAUCCAUCUCUUCCCCUAAAAGCUCAUGCACUGCUGGUUAGUCUACUUUAAUGGGCAGACGUACACAAUUGUUCGUAUUGGGGGAUUUAAAACAAAACAAAAGACGAACCUAAUUUGGGCCCUGUCCACCCUGGAAACAGACUCGUGCUGGCCACUAGUGUGUUUAAGAUGUUCCCUCUGAAACAGCUCUUGGUGUGUGUGCCCUUGUUCAAACUUACUUGUACCUAGCUGUUCUGUCCCCAGUGUGGACAUGGCCUUCGAUGACAUCGUUCCAACUGUGCAGUGAAACCUGCUUAUAGCCAUACAGUUUGGACACAGUGAAAAAGGUGAAGUUGAAUGGAAGUUCCAGUUGUACAAGGUGCAAAUUGGAAUUCCAGUCGGAGUGCAAUUUUGCAGGGGUUGGCUAUAUGAUUAAAUUCUCUUGUACUUUUCAAACAGCUUUGAGUAUUUGGGGCAUGAACAAAUAUUCUGUAGUUCUAAUAGAGAUGGUAAAAUCUCUUGAAUAUUCAGGAAUGCCUCUUAGUUUCCUAUAUAAGAUAUAUAAACUUAUACAGGCUCAUUAGAUUACAGAUCUAAAUAUCAUCGUUAGAGAAUUGGAAAUUAUAUGCAUACCAGGCUCCUUUCUUUAGUUAGCAGCCAUUGAGAAGAGUAAUAAUGUCUAAAUACAAAUGUUUCCUUGAGGACCAGCACAGUGAUUCAGUCACUGAAUAUGAAUGAAUUGUUGAAUAUCUUUAUUUUGUUGUAUUAAAAUUUAUUGGUUAAAUUUGUGUCUGUAUCAUUAGAAAUUUUAAAGAUGGUUAAAUGAAUGAAAAAAUGUAAAGUGAGGUUUCACAAAGGAUGAAUUUUAGAACUCCAAAUAUAAAAACUAAGAAAUAUGUCUACUUUUUAGUAAAUGAAAAAUGUUGCUGUUAACUAACCAAGGAGGUUAAAAACAUUUGAUACUUAGUAGAGAAGCUUUUUCCAUCGCUGGGCUGCUCUCUUUGAGUACACUGGUUAUACCUGUUACUAGGGCUAUAAUGUAUUUCAAGAGGAGACUAAUAGAAAUUCUUUGUGAAACAUCACUGUUUGAUAAAGUAUACGUGUAUUUAGCAUCCUUGUUUUUCUUUAUGCUAAAGUGGAUACAGCUGUUGGGGCAGAAGAGACGGGACCAGCUGCUGGCCACAUUUCCUGCUUUAUUUUAAAAGCUUAGCAGUGUCUGCAAAAACGAAUCUUUUCCUACAACCUGUAACUGACUGGACUGAUGGUAACAAAGUAGUUGUGGGAGCCAUAUCGGUCACAAAUAUUGGCAUCUGCUGAAAAAUGAAUGCCAUUUCAAGCCCCCAAAUUACUUCUAUACUGAUUUCACUUUCCUGAAGUGGAGAUUUGAAAAGAUUCUCUGGAAUCCUUGAAAGACUUAAUAGAAACACAUGAGACUAAUGGGUUAAUUUUUGGAUAAAAUAUCCUUGUCUUUCAGAGGAGUAUAAUUCAGUUCUUUGCAGUACCCUUUAAAAUUGGAACUGCCAUUUGCACAAGAGAAUUACAUAUUAUUUUAUCUAGUACUUUUCGGUUUCUUUAGCAAGGAACAGAGACUAGUGAAUUACAUUUCAUAAAAUAGAAUUAAAUCAAUAGGCCAUCAAUGGUUGUAAGGUGUACAUAAUUUGUGCUCACUUAACUGUAUGUAACAUGGCAGUCUGUGUGAAGCUGAUGCAUUAACUUUGCUGAACUUAGUAAACUAAUUAAUGCAAAGUUCAGUAUUUAAAGGGCAGUCCUUUUGUAGAUGUUAAAUUGUUUUGUUUUCAUAUUCAUGGAGGAAUUUUGGUUGGUAAAAAUGUGAGACUAUCUUAUAUAACUGAGAAGUUACAUAGGCAAGAAAUAAUGGAUUUUUUCCUAUUAUAAUUAAUUUGACAAUGUUGGGAAUAAUUUGAAGCUUCUAAUAACUCUUGUAUUAGUUUUUAUUCACACUUUAAUGUCAAAUGGUCUAAUGUUAUGUAAUGGCUUUAACAUUCUGGAUUUUAGAAGUGACUUCUUUGUAGCAAAUGGUUUUAUGCCAUAUAUAUUUUCCCAGCUUAUGAUAUGUGAUAGAGUCUCAUAGAACUCUGGAUUUCAACAAAUUUUACUUGCUAGCUCCUCCCACAAUCUUUGGGGCUAAUGUUAACAAGUAUGGUUGGAUUCAAGGGAUAGAUAGGUUCCUGUUCUCCAUAAAGACUAAAUAAAUAAAUGAGUUUAUUGAAGGAAGCCAUCAAAACUUAAUUCAAGUCUGCUAAACCCAUUCUAUUGUUAGUAGAAAUGAGGAGUCUUGGCAAGAAUUAGUCGGAUGCCUAGGGAAUUCUGAGCAUUUCUGGCUCUAUCCAGGCACAGUAUUGAUAAAGCAGGGCCAUCUCUCUGCCAUUAUUCAUGGAGUUAUGGACUUACAUGCGAAAUACUGGCACAAUCCCUUCUGCAGGGCUAGAGAGUUCUUUUUGACAAGAUACCAGAUAAAACUGAUAAUUAAGAUUUGUGCAGUUCAUUGUUUUGGAGUUAUGGAGCUGAGGUCCUUGCUAAUACCUUGAUAUGUAUAACUGAACUUCAGAGCUACGGGACCUUAGAGAUUUUGGGCACUGACUUAACUAAGAAUCAGUAACAAUAUUUUUUUUAAAGUGUUUUCCCAGGCCCACUAGAAUCUGAAGUUUGAGGAAUUUUGAAAAUUUGUCAUUCCAGGUCCCUUGUUUUUGUUUUCAUGCCUUAAAGUACACUGAGAAAUACAUUAAAAUACACAGAAUGCAUUCAGAAGGUAUUUAAGGAUAUUUCAGCACUUUAAGAACAGAUAUCAUUAUAAAGAUUAAUUACUGAUGAGCAAUACUGUAAAAAGGUGAUCUGAUUAUUUACAUUUUGGAUAAAUUUGAGGUUUGCUAUUUAUAUAUCUUUUUUCCCUUGCUGUAAUCUCUUAAAUUGCUGCCACCUGUUGGAUUUCUCUGUGCUGGAAUUUUUAACACUAUUGCUUUUUUCCCUACUGGGAAGUAUUUUAAAAUAAUUUAAGUUUGAGCAGCUAUAGAACUAAGUACAUAUAAUUGACAUAACAUUUUGUGCUUUAUUUUCAACUUAGAUUUUUGUUUAAUCUUUUGCCAAAUUGCAGUGAAACCAAUUGAAAACAUACUCUAGCCACUGGGGCAUGUUUUGAAGAGUAUAAAUUGUAAAUUUCAGUUAAAUCCUAUUUGGGCUCUUAAGUAAUUAAUGUUUUAUCUAAUUGCAGUGUGCAAAUUAUUGGUAGCCUCAAAACAAUAAGAGUUUCGUCCAGUAUCACUUGUAGAUAUUGCAUCUUUCCCUGGCUUUUAGAAUUGAGUAACUUGGGUUAUGAAGUUAGUGUAUUAUGGUAAUUAGAACAUAAUACAAUUUAAUCUUUUUUGUUGAAGCAGUAAUGAUAAUUUUCAUACAACUAAUUGUAAAUAUGCUGUAAGAAACACCUGAGAACAAUUUGAAAAUAGAUAACCAUUUAAGAAAAUAUGGGAAAUUGUAAAUGUUUAAUGUGUAAGUUAAAAAAAAAUGAAUACAAUUCAAAAUAUUAAAGUGUUGAACCAACAUUUACUAUAUGUGAAAGAGAAGGGAACAUUUAUGUAAUCUAAAUUCAUUGAAACAUUUAUUGAACAUUAUGUGCAAGACACUUUUGGCACCAUGAAGGGGAAAUACCUGUAAGACAUAAGGUAGUAUGUAGUAAAUUUAAAAAAAUAAUUUGAAUAGUUUAAAGAUGCUUUAACAGUUCUGCCAGUUUCAUACAGUUUGUCAGUCAUGGUUUUGGCCUUAAAUAGUAUUAUGCCUAUGUUUUGAGAAAAUGUGCUGGCAAAAGAAAAUAUGGACUUUAAGGAUAUGAUUCAUAAGUUCUUGAUUUAACCAAUGACAUAGGGGUGUUUGUUUAAAAAACAAAAA